ACUGGGGCUCCUGGACUCUGGGGAAACUUCCCUCCUUUUGUAACCCACUCCCAGAGGGAAGUCUGCAUUGCUGAUUUCAGGAAGACGUCUUUAGAACUGUGGCCACCAUCCAACUGAGACUUAACUCAUUUUAAUGAGCAAUUCAGUGCGUGACUUCUCAGAAAAACAUCUCACUAUUUUCAGGGAGUUUACUCCAAAGGAAUUGUAUGUGUUUACAGAGCUGAAGCAAUACCUUAAUCUAAAUAAAUGGACCCAGGUAGGUUUAACUAUACAUCAAGUCAGAGUUAAUAUAUUUCCAACUACGUUUUCAAAUUCUCUAAGCAAUUCUAAGGGUGGCCACUUGUUCAAAGCAAUAAAGUUUAUAUGGAAAACAAACACUCA
Pantherophis guttatus is the source of this 381-nucleotide long non-coding RNA. RefSeq lists it as uncharacterized. NCBI's taxonomy places the organism in Eukaryota, Metazoa, Chordata, Lepidosauria, Squamata, Colubridae. The record is from RefSeq and is a predicted model, not a curated record.